RNAcentral lists this ribosomal RNA (164 nucleotides) under Oxossia calyptrocarpa. Its description in RNAcentral is "5.8S ribosomal RNA". It matches the Rfam family "5.8S ribosomal RNA". From Rfam's summary of the family: 5.8S ribosomal RNA (5.8S rRNA) is a component of the large subunit of the eukaryotic ribosome. It is transcribed by RNA polymerase I as part of the 45S precursor that also contains 18S and 28S rRNA. Lineage: Eukaryota; Viridiplantae; Streptophyta; Magnoliopsida; Malpighiales; Passifloraceae. RNAcentral also lists the same sequence under 3 other names. The record is from RNAcentral.
AAAAUGACUCUCGGCAACGGAUAUCUCGGCUCUCGCAUCGAUGAAGAACGUAGCGAAAUGCGAUACUUGGUGUGAAUUGCAGAAUCCCGUGAACCAUCGAGUCUUUGAACGCAAGUUGCGCCCGAAGCCUUCCGGCCGAGGGCACGCCUGCCUGGGUGUCAUGC